Molecule: ribosomal RNA, 778 nt
Filed under: uncultured Neocallimastigales
Lineage: Eukaryota; Fungi; Neocallimastigomycota; Neocallimastigomycetes; Neocallimastigales
Description: partial large subunit ribosomal RNA
Rfam family: Eukaryotic large subunit ribosomal RNA
Source: RNAcentral
UCGUCUAUAUACGUAUAGCAUAUCAAUAAGCGGAGGAAAAGAAACUAACUAGGAUUCCCUCAGUAACGGCGAGUGAAGCGGGAAGAGCUCAAAUUUGAAAUCUUAAAGGGUUUCCCUUGACGAAUUGUAGUUUAAAGAAGUGUUUUCUGUUGGAGUUUCGGUAAAAGUUCUUUGGAAUAGGACAUCAUAGAGGGUGAGAAUCCCGUAUUUGACCAUUACUUUCCAACUGUGUGAUACACUUUCAAAGAGUCGGAUUGUUUGGGAAUGCAGUCCAAAAUGGGUGGUAAAUUUCAUCUAAAGCUAAAUAUUGGCGAGAGACCGAUAGCGAACAAGUACCGUGAGGGAAGGAUGAAAAGAACUUUGAAAAGAGAGUUAAACAGUACGUGAAAUUGUCAAAAGGGAAGCGUUUGACACCAGUGUUGUUUUCUCGAAAAUCAAUUAAAAAUGGCAGGAUUUUGUGUUGUAUUGACUUUAUCAGCUUUCUGCACUUUUUUCUUGUCUUUUUUAAUGCACUUUUCGUUUAACAAGUCAACAUCAAUUUCUUUUGUUGUAAAAGGAGUCAUUGGAAGGUGGCUUUCUUUUCGGAGAAAGUGUUUAUAGCCUUUGACUUCUGCAGUCGGAGAGAUUGAGGUCUGCAGCGUAGAUCCUUCGGGGUUAGAUAGCAUUUGUGCUAAGCUAUAGCCUUUCAUAGACAACUUGUUGACUAUGAUCAGUCAUGUAGCUUACUCGCUUAUGUUAUUUUACCUACGCUUAGGAUGUUGACGAUCAGCUGAGCGCG